RNAcentral lists this ribosomal RNA (469 nucleotides) under uncultured bacterium. RNAcentral's name for it is "partial 16S ribosomal RNA". It matches the Rfam family "Bacterial small subunit ribosomal RNA", at positions 28 to 493 of the family's 1533-position model. The record is from RNAcentral.
GACGAACGCUGGCGGCGUGCUUAACACAUGCAAGUCGAACGGAAAGGCCCUGCUUUUGUGGGGUGCUCGAGUGGCGAACGGGUGAGUAACACGUGAGUAACCUGCCCUUGACUUUGGGAUAACUUCAGGAAACUGGGGCUAAUACCGGAUAGGAGCUCCUGCUGCAUGGUGGGGGUUGGAAAGUUUCGGCGGUUGGGGAUGGACUCGCGGCUUAUCAGCUUGUUGGUGGGGUAGUGGCUUACCAAGGCUUUGACGGGUAGCCGGCCUGAGGGGGUGACCGGGCAAAAUUGGGAAGGAAAUGGGGCCAGGCCCCCGAGGGGGGGAGGGGGGGGGAAUUUUGGAAAAAUGGGCGGAAGCUGGAGCCAGCACCGCCGGGGGGGGGAGGGCGGCUUUGGGUUGUAAACCCCUUUGCGCCGGGGAGGAGGGGGGGGGGAGGGAAAGGGAAAAAAAGCACCCGCCAAACUACGCC